GACUCUGUGGCGCAAUGGAGAGCGCGUUGGACUUCUAAGUGAGCGCUUGAAGAAGUGAUUCAAAGGUUGUGGGUUCGAGUCCCGCCAGAGUUG
RNAcentral lists this transfer RNA (93 nucleotides) under Scleropages formosus (Asian bonytongue). It matches the Rfam family "tRNA". From Rfam's summary of the family: Transfer RNA (tRNA) molecules are approximately 80 nucleotides in length. Their secondary structure includes four short double-helical elements and three loops (D, anti-codon, and T loops). Further hydrogen bonds mediate the characteristic L-shaped molecular structure. tRNAs have two regions of fundamental functional importance: the anti-codon, which is responsible for specific mRNA codon recognition, and the 3' end, to which the tRNAs corresponding amino acid is attached (by aminoacyl-tRNA synthetases). tRNAs cope with the degeneracy of the genetic code in two manners: having more than one tRNA (with a specific anti-codon) for a particular amino acid; and 'wobble' base-pairing, i.e. permitting non-standard base-pairing at the 3rd anti-codon position. The record is from Rfam by way of RNAcentral. Lineage: Eukaryota; Metazoa; Chordata; Actinopteri; Osteoglossiformes; Osteoglossidae.